This 490-nucleotide ribosomal RNA is filed under the name uncultured bacterium. Its description in RNAcentral is "partial 16S ribosomal RNA". It matches the Rfam family "Bacterial small subunit ribosomal RNA", at positions 30 to 507 of the family's 1533-position model. The record is from RNAcentral.
AUUGAACGCUGGCGGCAGGCCUAACACAUGCAAGUCGAACGGUAACAGGAAGCAGCUUGCUGCUUCGCUGACGAGUGGCGGACGGGUGAGUAAUAUCUGGGAAGCUGCCUGAUGGAGGGGGAUAACUACUGGAAACGGUAGCUAAUACCGCAUAAUGUCGCAAGACCAAAGAGGGGAACCUUCGGGCCUCUUGCCAUCGGAUGUGCCCAGAUGGGAUUAGCUUGUUGGUGGGGUAACGGCUCACCAAGGCGACGAUCCCUAGCUGGUCUGAGAGGAUGACCAGCCACACUGGGACUGAGACACGGUCCAGACUCCUACGGGAGGCAGCAGUGGGGAAUAUUGCACAAUGGGCGCAAGCCUGAUGCAGCCAUGCCGCGUGUAUGAAGAAGGCCUUCGGGUUGUAAAGUACUUUCAGCGGGGAGGAAGGGAGUAAAGUUAAUACCUUUGCUCAUUGACGUUACCCGCAGAAGAAGCACCGGCUAACUCCGUG